UUCUCGAUGCCUCCCAUUCCUA
RNAcentral lists this microRNA (22 nucleotides) under Oryza sativa (Asian cultivated rice). Its description in RNAcentral is "osa-miR2118a". The record is from miRBase by way of RNAcentral. Lineage: Eukaryota; Viridiplantae; Streptophyta; Magnoliopsida; Poales; Poaceae.